GCUUUUCCGUUUGUAUGCUAUCCUGCGUUGAGCAUGCGUUUUUCAACUUCCCACUUACGAAUUCACUGGAUGACGGGGGUAUUGUAAGCUUAUUCACUUUCUUGACAAAAUAAUGGUGUCUGAGGUACGUUUACUGUACAUAUACUGUAUUUUAUUAUUUAUUCGUUCGUAUGUGGGAAAGAGAAAUAUUAUGUUUUACAGACACGGUGGGGAGUUAGGUGAAGAAAGAAAAUGAUGCGAGUACGGGAAAAUUUGUAUGAAGGUUGAAAGGUAUGGUAGUAGACAGGAUACAUAAAGUCACAAUAUUUCAUGUUUUAAAUUUUAUUUCAAUUUAUUAAUAACCAAAAUAUUACAGACAUGGAUUUCGUAAUAGCAAUUUUUUCUGCAAGCCCCUUAAAACAUCAUUACAAGUUUCCUGACUUUGAGUAACUUUACCAAACCAAAAUAUAACAAUAUGCGUGAUCUACAUUAUGUUAUACUCGCUACCUUAUUUCGGCGAUCUCACGACCAAAAGACGCAAAAUUUAAUAUCUCUUUAUUUUCUUUCUUAAAAAAAAUAAAGAGAUAUUGUAGCAAUGCGACCACUUACGGACUGAUAUGAUAUAGGAUUUUUCAUACAAGACUCGCAAAUGGAUGAGUAUAUAAAUACAAAUUAUGUUAAAUCAUUGCUUCUAACAACCCAAACUAAUCGAACCGUUGGUGAAUGAUGCAUUUAAAUUGCUAUGAGGACCUGCUUGAAACUAAGUUUCGAGGCGCUGAUAACAAAUAUCUAUCAACUUUAGGUAUAAAAAUGUUGAAGUACGAAAACUUCUUAGGUAUUAUUCAGAUUUAACUGCUAAAGAAUAAUUUUUGCAAAUCUUUAUGGAUAUCAGCAAAGGUUUCGAAUUCAGAGAAAGAAAUUUUCUCCCUUUCACAAUAUUUAAUUAAAUCACGUCCUUUCUUGGCAAACAAGUGUUCUGUUUCCUUCGCAGCACUCAAAUCGGAAACACCAUCUCCGCAAUAGACCAUGUGAGGACGUUUACUUUCUGGCAAUUGAGCAUACGGACGGAUAGUAAGGCUUUUGUCGUGUCCAAAAUGACUGUCAUCAUGAUACACAAUGUUCCAUUGACCAUCAGGAUGCACAUUGAUGUCAUUAGAAACAAUUUCAAUACUACUUGCUUCUUCUUUGCCAAGGUAUUGCUCAAAAAGUGCACGAAUAAAAGGCUCCAUACCACUUGAAAGGAUGAUUACACGAAUGUCUUGAGACUUACACCAUUCAUAGAAUGGUUUAAAUGAUGGAUCAAUGGCGACAUUCUUCUUGAGAACCUCCAAAGCUUCAUCAUAGCUUAAAUGCACUGAAUCCAACAUCUUCGCGAAAGCAUCACUAUGAAUUGUUAAGAGUUGAUUUACGCGUCAAACGCUUACCGAAAAGAAAUGGAACCGUCAAGAACUUGUUGAUUUAGAUUCACACGGUUGGCGUUGCCCAUUCCAAAGUUGUCUAAAACAUAGUUAGUAAACCGUCGCCGUCGAGUGUUGCAGUAAUAAAGCAUUCAAGGUGGGCAGGGAAAUUUUUGACCCAAUGUUAUAAAAUCAUAGAUUUCUCUUACAGAUUUUCGUAAAUCUUCAAUAAAUAUUCAGUUAAGCUUAAUUGUAAGAACAUUUUCU
Molecule: long non-coding RNA, 1643 nt
Filed under: Schizosaccharomyces pombe (fission yeast)
Lineage: Eukaryota; Fungi; Ascomycota; Schizosaccharomycetes; Schizosaccharomycetales; Schizosaccharomycetaceae
Source: RNAcentral